GACGAACGCUGGCGGCGUGCUUAACACAUGCAAGUCGAACGGAAAGGCCCUGCUUUUGUUGGGUGCUCGAGUGGCGAACGGGUGAGUAACACGUGAGUAACCUGCCCUUGACUUUGGGAUAACUUCAGGAAACUGGGGCUAAUACCGGAUAGGAGCUCCUGCUGCAUGGUGGGGGUUGGAAAGUUUCGGCGGUUGGGGAUGGACUCGCGGCUUAUCAGCUUGUUGGUGGGGGAGUGGCUUACCAAGGCUUUGACGGGUAGCCGGCCUGAGAGGGUGACCGGCCACAUUGGGACUGAGAUACGGCGCAGACUCCUACGGGAGGCAGCAGUGGGGAAUAUUGCACAAUGGGCGGAAGCCUGAUGCAGCAACGCCGCGUGCGGGAUGACGGCCUUCGGGUUGUAAACCGCUUUCGCCUGUGACGAAGCGUGAGUGACGGUAAUGGGUAAAGAAGCACCGGCUAACUACGUG
This 468-nucleotide ribosomal RNA is filed under the name uncultured bacterium. RNAcentral describes it as "partial 16S ribosomal RNA". It matches the Rfam family "Bacterial small subunit ribosomal RNA", at positions 28 to 507 of the family's 1533-position model. The record is from RNAcentral.